GCAGAUCUGUCUUAACGUAGAGCUUGGAGUCGACAUCUCGGGAAGGUCAAAGAGGGGUAGAGUUACUCCCCUUCUCCGAACCGGCUUUUCCAGCUACAGGAGUUCGUGCUUGAAUUUACUAAUGAGGUGUGCCAAGCCGUGAGGAGUCAGGGAAUGACCAAAUAAUAAUGAGUUAGCAAAGACAUCAGACUUUAUCUCCUAGACCCUCUAAAACAUUCCUAGGAGAUCCCCAAGUUUAAGUCCAUGUGAAUUUACAUAUUAGUAAUUAUUUGUCUGACGGUGGCAAAGAGGACCGGGCAUGAGAGAGAGAGGAAUGAGAGGGAACAGUAAUUUCCCCGCCACAGGAAGUUUGGUGUGUCCGUGGUUCCCAACGCUCAACCCCAGCAGUACAGAAGAUGAUGCAAGAAGAGAGCGAUGCACUGUAGCUGCAAAGUGGAAACAAGGUAGCCGGAAAGUGGAAACAACCCGAUAGCCAUCAUAAAGACAGUGGAUAAAACAAAUUGGGGUGCAUCUAUACAAUGGGAUAGUAAUAAGCUGUUGAUAAGCACAUGAAUGAAUCUCAGAAACAUCAUGCUGAGUGAAAGAAGCCAAACACUAGCAUGGAUAUAUGUACCUAGUACAAUUCCCUUCAUAUGAAACUCUAGAGAAAGCAAAACUGAUCUCUACACUCAGCAGAUUAGUGGGUGUCUACUACUGUAGGUGAAGACUGACAGGGAAAGGGCAUGAGGGACGCUCUGGGGUGAUGGAAAUGUGGCUGUGGGUAUACCUUUGUCAGAACUCAUUGAAAUGUACACUUAAAAUGUAUGCUAUCUAUCUGUAAAUUACACCUCAAUGAAGUUGAUUUUAAAUCUA
This is a long non-coding RNA of Neogale vison (American mink), 852 nucleotides long. RefSeq lists it as uncharacterized. NCBI's taxonomy places the organism in Eukaryota, Metazoa, Chordata, Mammalia, Carnivora, Mustelidae. The transcript is spliced from 3 exons. The record is from RefSeq and is a predicted model, not a curated record.